RNAcentral lists this ribosomal RNA (253 nucleotides) under uncultured bacterium. Its description in RNAcentral is "partial 16S ribosomal RNA". It matches the Rfam family "Bacterial small subunit ribosomal RNA", at positions 524 to 776 of the family's 1533-position model. The record is from RNAcentral.
GACAGAGGGGGCAAGCGUUGCUCGGAAUUACUGGGCGUAAAGCGCACGUAGGCGGCUUGGUAUGUCGGGUGUGAAAUCCCCGGGCUCAACCUGGGAACUGCAUCCGAAACUGCCUUGCUCGAGUAUGGGAGAGGGAAGUGGAAUUUCCGGUGUAGCGGUGAAAUGCGUAGAUAUCGGAAGGAACAUCAGUGGCGAAGGCGACUUCCUGAACCAAUACUGACGCUCAGGUGCGAAAGCGUGGGGAGCAAACAGG